Elaeis guineensis (African oil palm) is the source of this 696-nucleotide non-coding RNA. Lineage: Eukaryota; Viridiplantae; Streptophyta; Magnoliopsida; Arecales; Arecaceae. The record is from RefSeq and is a predicted model, not a curated record.
UCGUGCGAAUAAAGCGCCAAGACUUCUCCUAGUCCUCGCGUCUGUUCUCUUUCCCCCUUCCGCUGUCCCUCUUUCUUGGCGGUGAAGUCGAAUCUCAUUUUGGUCUCGAUUGGAAGUGGAGAAGGAUGGGCGGUGAUAAGUGGAGAGAAAUCUGAUACGUUUUGGUCGGAUAAUGAUGAUUACUGGAAUGCUGAAAACUGGACCAGAUCUUGCCUUCUGACAACCGUGACAUUUUGCAAAAACAUAUUUGGUGAUUAUGAGUGUACACUGGAAUGAGAUUGAGAGGGACGGUUCUAGACAUGUUAGAUCAAUGCAAAAGAGUGGCUAGCCAAGGGAUAUAAAAAUGAUCAGCAUAAUUAUCUGAAGGAUAAGUUCUCCUCUACCAUAGACAAUGCACUGAGGAACUAAUGAAGCUUUAGCAGACAUUUCAUUUCGUAGCAUAUUUCUGCCAUAGAUGGCAUAUUUGUAACAUGCAAGGGGCAUUAUCAGUAAGAGGGACAGGGCCUAUUGCACCAGCUGGAUGAAGAUUUUCUCUCCCUUCCUCUGAAAAAUGGUUUGCAAUGUGCAUUAUCUGAUUGCAUUAUAUCCCUUUGCUGGUUGAUUGUUCUGUGCAUUUAUUGUUACUUUUGGGCUGUGGUUGCUCUGAGAAAGGUAUCUUUCAUCUUGGACUCCAGCAGUUGCUGAAUCUUUCUUCUG